RNAcentral lists this ribosomal RNA (442 nucleotides) under Arthrobacter sp. R-38507. RNAcentral describes it as "bacterial SSU rRNA". It matches the Rfam family "Bacterial small subunit ribosomal RNA", at positions 22 to 467 of the family's 1533-position model. The record is from RNAcentral. Lineage: Bacteria; Bacillati; Actinomycetota; Actinomycetes; Micrococcales; Micrococcaceae.
GCUCAGGAUGAACGCUGGCGGCGUGCUUAACACAUGCAAGUCGAACGAUGAACCUCACUUGUGGGGGGAUUAGUGGCGAACGGGUGAGUAACACGUGAGUAACCUGCCCUUAACUYUGGGAUAAGCCUUGGAAACGAGGUCUAAUACUGGAUAUUGACUUUUCACCGCAUGGUGUUUGGUUGAAAGAUUUAUUGGUUUUGGAUGGACUCGCGGCCUAUCAGCUUGUUGGUGAGGUAAUGGCUUACCAAGGCGACGACGGGUAGCCGGCCUGAGAGGGUGACCGGCCACACUGGGACUGAGACACGGCCCAGACUCCUACGGGAGGCAGCAGUGGGGAAUAUUGCACAAUGGGCGAAAGCCUGAUGCAGCGACGCCGCGUGAGGGAUGACGGCCUUCGGGUUGUAAACCUCUUUCAGUAGGGAACAAGGCCACAUUUUGUGUG